RNAcentral lists this ribosomal RNA (207 nucleotides) under uncultured bacterium. Its description in RNAcentral is "partial 16S ribosomal RNA". It matches the Rfam family "Bacterial small subunit ribosomal RNA", at positions 568 to 774 of the family's 1533-position model. The record is from RNAcentral.
CGCGUAGGCGGCUUGGCAAGUCAGGUGUGAAAUCCCCGAGCUUAACUUGGGAAUUGCAUCUGAAACUGCCGAGCUUGAGUCCUGGAGGGGAUAGCGGAAUUCCCAGUGUAGCGGUGAAAUGCGUAGAUAUUGGGAGGAACACCUGCGGCGAAGGCGGCUAUCUGGACAGUGACUGACGCUGAGGCGCGAAAGCUAGGGGAGCGAACG